GAUGAACGCUGGAUGUGUGCCUAAUACAUGCAUGUCGUGCGAAGUACUUGUACUUAGCGGCGAAUGGGUGAGUAACACGUACCUAAUCUGCCCUCUAGACUGGGAUAACUGUUAGAAAUGACAGCUAAUACCGGAUAUUCUUAUUCACAUAUGUGAAUGUAGUGAAAGAAGCUUCGGCUUCACUAGAGGAUGAGGGUGCGGCAUAUUAGCUAGUUGGUAGUGUAAUGGACUACCAAGGCGAUGAUAUGUAGCGGGGUCGAGAGGCUGAACCGCCACACUGGGACUGAGAUACGGCCCAG
RNAcentral lists this ribosomal RNA (299 nucleotides) under uncultured Mycoplasma sp. RNAcentral describes it as "partial 16S ribosomal RNA". It matches the Rfam family "Bacterial small subunit ribosomal RNA", at positions 28 to 334 of the family's 1533-position model. The record is from RNAcentral. Lineage: Bacteria; Bacillati; Mycoplasmatota; Mollicutes; Mycoplasmatales; Mycoplasmataceae.